This is a long non-coding RNA of Salvia splendens (bonfire salvia), 572 nucleotides long. RefSeq lists it as uncharacterized. NCBI's taxonomy places the organism in Eukaryota, Viridiplantae, Streptophyta, Magnoliopsida, Lamiales, Lamiaceae. The transcript has 2 exons. The record is from RefSeq and is a predicted model, not a curated record.
AGAACCGACUUUGAACGUGGACACACCACAGCGACGGACGGAUCUCUCUGUCUUCGUUUUCUUGGAGGAGGAGUUGUUCAAACCUUAAUCUCGACGAACCCAAAUUGUAGUUGGUGAGAAACAAAAGGCGAAAAUGGGCGAAGAAAACGGGGCAGCUUCAAUCAAUCAGGGAAUGGAUCGUUGAGCACAAGCUCCGCACUGUUGAUUGCACGCGCAAGCACUAACUCUUGCUGCACUAUCCGGGGCUGCCAUUGUCGAAUACUAUGAUCACAAAUCCGGAGCCAAAGCAGAGCGUGUGGCCAAGUUUUUGGACAUCAAGGAAAACCAACACAGGGAUUGAAGUUUUCAUCUCUAGUUUCCGGCUGAUGUUUUGAAGAAAAGCACAAGCUCGCCCUCAGUUUUUUGCUACCAAGCUUUCGAAUCGUUGAGGGUUCUUCAGGUUUGAAUGUUUGAUGUUGAAUAGCUCCAGAUGGAGAGCAUUUUCCCAGUAUCUCAGUUGCAAUUGUAAUUGUGAUCAUUGUGUAUGCAAACUCCAAAUCUUUUUGUAUGAAAUUCUUCCCUUUACAACGCAA